RNAcentral lists this ribosomal RNA (486 nucleotides) under uncultured bacterium. RNAcentral describes it as "partial 16S ribosomal RNA". It matches the Rfam family "Bacterial small subunit ribosomal RNA", at positions 28 to 507 of the family's 1533-position model. The record is from RNAcentral.
GAUGAACGCUGGCGGCGUGCCUAAUACAUGCAAGUCGAACGCUGGAAAUCUAGCUUGCUAGAUUGAAGGAGUGGCGAACGGGUGAGUAAUACAUAAGCAACCUACCCACGAAGACUGGGAUAAUCUCUGGAAACGGGGACUAAUACCGGAUAGGUAAUCGGAAGGCAUCUUCUGAUUAUUAAAGGUUAAAAACACUGGUGGAUGGGCUUAUGGCGCAUUAGUUAGUUGGUGAGGUAACGGCCCACCAAGACGAUGAUGCGUAGCCGGCCUGAGAGGGUGAACGGUCAGAUUGGGACUGAGACACGGCCCAGACUCCUACGGGAGGCAGCAGUAGGGAAUGCACGGGAAGGGGGGAAACCCUGACCGAGCAACGCCGCGUGAGUGAUGACGGCCUUCGGGUUGUAAAGCUCUGUUGUAAGGGAAGAACGGUAGAUAGAGAAUAUCUAAAUGACGGUACCUUAUCAGAAAGCCACGGCUAACUACGUG